GAAAGCCUGACGGAGCAAUACCGCGUGAGGGAGGAAGGCUCUUGGGUUGUAAACCUCUUUUCUCAGGGAAGAAAAAAAUGACGGUACCUGAGGAAUAAGCAUCGGCUAACUCCGUGCCAGCAGCCGCGGUAAUACGGAGGAUGCAAGCGUUAUCCGGAAUGAUUGGGCGUAAAGGGUCCGCAGGUGGCUAUGUAAGUCUGCUGUUAAAGAACCUAGCUUAACUAGGUAAAAGCAGUGGAAACUACAAGGCUAGAGUGCGUUCGGGGUAGAGGGAAUUCCUGGUGUAGCGGUGAAAUGCGUAGAUAUCAGGAAGAACACCAGUGGCGAAGGCGC
Molecule: ribosomal RNA, 333 nt
Filed under: Nodularia spumigena CCY9414
Lineage: Bacteria; Bacillati; Cyanobacteriota; Cyanophyceae; Nostocales; Nodulariaceae
Description: bacterial SSU rRNA
Rfam family: Bacterial small subunit ribosomal RNA
Source: RNAcentral